GAGGAACACCAGUGGCGAAGGCGACUCUCUGGUCUGUAACUGACGCUUAAGAGCGAAAGCGUGGGGAGCGAACAGGAUUAGAUACCCUGGUAGUCCACGCCGUAAACGAUGAGUGCUAAGUGUUAGGGGGUUUCCGCCCCUUAGUGCUGCAGCUAACGCAUUAAGCACUCCGCCUGGGGAGUACGGUCGCAAGACUGAAACUCAAAGGAAUUGACGGGGGCCCGCACAAGCGGUGGAGCAUGUGGUUUAAUUCGAAGCAACGCGAAGAACCUUACCAGGUCUUGACAUCCUCUGACAAUCCUAGAGAUAGGACGUCCCCUUCGGGGGCAGAGUGACAGGUGGUGCAUGGUUGUCGUCAGCUCGUGUCGUGAGAUGUUGGGUUAAGUCCCGCAACGAGCGCAACCCUUGAUCUUAGUUGCCAGCAUUCAGUUGGGCACUCUAAGGUGACUGCCGGUGACAAACCGGAGGAAGGUGGGGAUGACGUCAAAUCAUCAUGCCCCUUAUGACCUGGGCUACACACGUGCUACAAUGGACAGAACAAAGGGCAGCGAAACCGCGAGGUUAAGCCAAUCCCACAAAUCUGUUCUCAGUUCGGAUCGCAGUCUGCAACUCGACUGCGUGAAGCUGGAAUCGCUAGUAAU
Molecule: ribosomal RNA, 641 nt
Filed under: Bacillus subtilis
Lineage: Bacteria; Bacillati; Bacillota; Bacilli; Caryophanales; Bacillaceae
Description: bacterial SSU rRNA
Rfam family: Bacterial small subunit ribosomal RNA
Source: RNAcentral